CAUUCAACGUCAUGUAAUACUGAAACUGGAACGAUACAAGGAAGAUUAGCAUGGCCCCUGGGCAAGCAUGGUACGGAAAUUCGAAAUUCGUGAGACGUUAUA
This is a small nuclear RNA of Cervus hanglu yarkandensis (Yarkand deer), 102 nucleotides long. The record is from Ensembl. NCBI's taxonomy places the organism in Eukaryota, Metazoa, Chordata, Mammalia, Artiodactyla, Cervidae.